RNAcentral lists this ribosomal RNA (488 nucleotides) under Acinetobacter baumannii. RNAcentral's name for it is "bacterial SSU rRNA". It matches the Rfam family "Bacterial small subunit ribosomal RNA", at positions 12 to 495 of the family's 1533-position model. Lineage: Bacteria; Pseudomonadati; Pseudomonadota; Gammaproteobacteria; Moraxellales; Moraxellaceae. The record is from RNAcentral.
UUUGAUCAUGGCUCAGAUUGAACGCUGGCGGCAGGCUUAACACAUGCAAGUCGAGCGGGGGAAGGUAGCUUGCUACCGGACCUAGCGGCGGACGGGUGAGUAAUGCUUAGGAAUCUGCCUAUUAGUGGGGGACAACAUCUCGAAAGGGAUGCUAAUACCGCAUACGUCCUACGGGAGAAAGCAGGGGAUCUUCGGACCUUGCGCUAAUAGAUGAGCCUAAGUCGGAUUAGCUAGUUGGUGGGGUAAAGGCCUACCAAGGCGACGAUCUGUAGCGGGUCUGAGAGGAUGAUCCGCCACACUGGGACUGAGACACGGCCCAGACUCCUACGGGAGGCAGCAGUGGGGAAUAUUGGACAAUGGGGGGAACCCUGAUCCAGCCAUGCCGCGUGUGUGAAGAAGGCCUUAUGGUUGUAAAGCACUUUAAGCGAGGAGGAGGCUACUUUAGUUAAUACCUAGAGAUAGUGGACGUACUCGCAGAAUAAGCACCG